This 307-nucleotide unclassified non-coding RNA is filed under the name Cunninghamella echinulata. RNAcentral's name for it is "partial internal transcribed spacer region". The stretch from base 1 to 46 matches the Rfam family "Eukaryotic small subunit ribosomal RNA", at positions 1786 to 1831 of the family's 1831-position model. The record is from RNAcentral. Lineage: Eukaryota; Fungi; Mucoromycota; Mucoromycetes; Mucorales; Cunninghamellaceae.
AAGUCGUAACAAGGUUUCCGUAGGUGAACCUGCGGAAGGAUCAUUAACUAUUUGUGGGGGAAUAGGCUUUAAAAACCUUUUUCACCAUUAAUUCAUCCAUAAUGUGGGUCAAACCACAUGCGCAAUGUUUUUUUUAAAGGGUUACUUUCGGGUACUCUUUAUUUAUUAUAAUAUGGUUCUUUUUGGGCUAUAUUAUUAAUUUUUUUAUACUAAAUUUACUGAAUAACGAUUGACCAUAAUUUAUGGUUGUUUAAAAAUAUAUUAAUUUAUAUAAAAACAACUUUCAGCAAUGGAUCUCUCGGCUUUC